UGGGGAAUAUUGCACAAUGGGCGCAAGCCUGAUGCAGCCAUGCCGCGUGUAUGAAGAAGGCCUUCGGGUUGUAAAGUACUUUCAGCGGGGAGGAAGGGAGUAAAGUUAAUACCUUUGCUCAUUGACGUUACCCGCAGAAGAAGCACCGGCUAACUACGUGCCAGCAGCCGCGGUAAUACGCAGGUGGCAAGCGUUGUCCGGAUUUAUUGGGCGUAAAGCGAGCGCAGGCGGUUUCUUAAGUCUGAUGUGAAAGCCCCCGGCUAAACCGGGGAGGGUCAUUGGGAACUGGGAGACUUGAGUGCAGAAGGGGAGAGUGGAAUUCCAUGUGUAGCGGUGAAAUGCGUAGAUAUAUGGAGGAAAACCAGUGGCGAAGGCGGCUCUCUGGUCUGUAACUAACGCUGAGGCUGGAAAGCGUGGGGAGCAAACAGG
Molecule: ribosomal RNA, 429 nt
Filed under: Chloroflexota bacterium
Lineage: Bacteria; Bacillati; Chloroflexota
Description: Chloroflexi bacterium partial 16S ribosomal RNA
Rfam family: Bacterial small subunit ribosomal RNA
Source: RNAcentral